GACGAACGCUGGCGGCGUGCUUAACACAUGCAAGUCGAACGGUAAGGCUCCAGCUUGCUGGGGUACACGAGUGGCGAACGGGUGAGUAACACGUGGGUGACCUGCCCUGCACUUCGGGAUAAGCCUGGGAAACUGGGUCUAAUACCGGAUAGGACCGCACCGUGAGGGUGUGGUGGAAAGUUUUUUCGGUGUGGGAUGGGCCCGCGGCCUAUCAGCUUGUUGGUGGGGUAAUGGCCUACCAAGGCGGCGACGGGUAGCCGGCCUGAGAGGGUGGACGGCCACAUUGGGACUGAGACACGGCCCAGACUCUUACGGGAGGCAGCAGUGGGGAAUAUUGCACAAUGGGCGGAAGCCUGAUGCAGCGACGCCGCGUGGGGGAUGACGGCCUUCGGGUUGUAAACUCCUUUCACCAUCGACGAAGGGUUUCUGACGGUAGAUGGAGAAGAAGCACCGGCUAACUACGUG
Molecule: ribosomal RNA, 465 nt
Filed under: uncultured bacterium
Lineage: Bacteria
Description: partial 16S ribosomal RNA
Rfam family: Bacterial small subunit ribosomal RNA
Source: RNAcentral